RNAcentral lists this ribosomal RNA (438 nucleotides) under uncultured bacterium. RNAcentral describes it as "bacterial SSU rRNA". It matches the Rfam family "Bacterial small subunit ribosomal RNA", at positions 791 to 1240 of the family's 1533-position model. The record is from RNAcentral.
UAGUCCACGCCGUAAACUAUGGAUGCUAGCUGUAAGAGGUAUCGACCCCUUUUGUAGCGAAGCUAACGCGUUAAGCAUCCCGCCUGUGGAGUACGAGCGCAAGCUUAAAACAUAAAGGAAUUGACGGGGACCCGCACAAGCGGUGGAGCGUGCUGUUUAAUUCGACGAUAAGCGAAGAACCUUACCGGGGUUUGACAUAUUUACUAAUCCCUGUGAAAGCAAGGAGUGCCUUCGGGCCGUAUAUACAGGUGCUGCAUGGCCGUCGUCAGCUCGUGUCGUGAGAUGUUGGGUUAAGUCCCGCAACGAGCGCAACCCCUAUGUUUAGUUGUAUUUUUUCUAGACAGACUGCAUUGGUAACAAGGAGGAAGGAGGGGAUGAUGUCAGGUCAGUAUUGCCCUUACACCCUGGGGCUACAAGCACGCUACAAUGGGCCGGUAC